This 465-nucleotide ribosomal RNA is filed under the name uncultured bacterium. RNAcentral's name for it is "partial 16S ribosomal RNA". It matches the Rfam family "Bacterial small subunit ribosomal RNA", at positions 28 to 507 of the family's 1533-position model. The record is from RNAcentral.
GACGAACGCUGGCGGCGUGCUUAACACAUGCAAGUCGAACGGAAAGGCCCUGCUUGCAGGGUACUCGAGUGGCGAACGGGUGAGUAACACGUGGGUGAUCUGCCCUUCACUUCGGGAUAAGCCUGGGAAACUGGGUCUAAUACCGGAUAGGAGCCAUUUUUAGUGUGAUGGUUGGAAAGUUUUUUCGGUGUAGGAUGAGCUCGCGGCCUAUCAGCUUGUUGGUGGGGUAAUGGCCUACCAAGGCGGCGACGGGUAGCCGGCCUGAGAGGGUGGACGGCCACAUUGGGACUGAGAUACGGCCCAGACUCCUACGGGAGGCAGCAGUGGGGAAUAUUGCACAAUGGGCGCAAGCCUGAUGCAGCGACGCCGCGUGGGGGAUGACGGCCUUCGGGUUGUAAACUCCGUUCGCUAGGGACGAAGCUUUUUGUGACGGUACCUAGAUAAGAAGCACCGGCUAACUACGUG